GAUGAGGAUUAGGUAGUCAAAUAUUCUUCCUCCUGCUUUUGAACACACUCCCUCUUCCACAGCCAGUUCCAGGACUAAUUCUAGUCCAGGACUGAGGUUCAGGGCCAGCCAGGGUGGGAGCCUGGAGAGCAUAGACUCUCAUCCUACCACUUUGCCCGGCCAGGCGCCCCACUUCCCCCCUCAUGUGGGAAGCAGUUCACCAGGAAGCUCCAGCCUUAAAAUGUUCAAACCUUAAACUCAUAGAAGUUGACCUGAAUUCCUGCAGGUUCUUCUCUAGAGAGGGGUUCUGGGUGACACUUACAGGGCUACACUGGGAAUGUGGGAGUGGUGCAGUCGAUAGAGAGGGAGUCCUUUAUUUUUUCCUGGCCCCACUGCCACAGACACUGCUUCUGGCCAGGCAGCUAUUGUGGCUUGGGUUGCCAAUCCCUACCUUGCAGCCUUUCGUGCAGGACCGGAUAGAGUACUCUUCUGCCUAGUCCUUUGGAUAUAUGCCCAGGAGUGGUAUGGCUGAAUCAUGUAGAAACUCAAGUUUCAGCUUUGUGAGAAACACAACACAAAUUUCCAUAGUGACCACCUCAAUUUACACUCCAACCAGCAUCUAAGGGAUUAGGAAAAUCAUGCCUCUUACUGGAAGUCUGUGUCUUCUUGUUGUGCCUAACUACAAUUUUACUGCUUGAGCAAGAUCUGUGGCGAUGCCUGGACUCAGGUUUCUUUAAUGGAUUGACCACUGGGAAUUUGACCAUACUCCAGUGAGUAUAUGGGCAAUAUAUAUUGUAC
Molecule: long non-coding RNA, 777 nt
Organism: Acomys russatus (golden spiny mouse)
Lineage: Eukaryota; Metazoa; Chordata; Mammalia; Rodentia; Muridae
Exons: 4
Source: RefSeq, a predicted model, not a curated record